This 492-nucleotide ribosomal RNA is filed under the name uncultured bacterium. RNAcentral describes it as "partial 16S ribosomal RNA". It matches the Rfam family "Bacterial small subunit ribosomal RNA", at positions 29 to 507 of the family's 1533-position model. The record is from RNAcentral.
AGUGAACGCUGGCGGUAGGCCUAACACAUGCAAGUCGAACGGCAGCACAGUAAGAGCUUGCUCUUACGGGUGGCGAGUGGCGGACGGGUGAGGAAUACAUCGGAAUCUACUUUUUCGUGGGGGAUAACGUAGGGAAACUUACGCUAAUACCGCAUACGACCUACGGGUGAAAGCAGAAGAUCUUCGGAAAUUGCGCGAUUGAAUGAGACGAUGUCGGAUUAGCUAGUUGGCGGGGUAAAGGCCCACCAAGGCGACGAUCCGUAGCUGGUCUGAGAGGAUGAUCAGCCACACUGGAACUGAGACACGGUCCAGACUCCUACGGGAGGCAGCAGUGGGGAAUAUUGGACAAUGGGCGCAAGCCUGAUCCAGCCAUACCGCGUGGGUGAAGAAGGCCUUCGGGUUGUAAAGCCCUUUUGUUGGGAAAGAAAAGCAGCAGGUUAAUACCCCGCUGUUCUGACGGUACCCAAAGAAUAAGCACCGGCUAACUUCGUG